AGAGUUUGAUCCUGGCUCAGAACGAACGUUGGCGGCGUGGAUUAGGCAUGCAAGUCGAACGCGAAAGCGUCCUUCGGGGCGCGAGUAGAGUGGCGAACUGGUGAGUAACAGGUGGGUAAUGUGCCUCUCAGCGGGGGAUAACCUCUGGAAACAGGGGCUAAUACCGCGUAUGGCCCGGGGGACGUCGGUUCCCUGGGUUAAAGGUGCGCAUCUUCUUCGGAGGGCGCGUGUCGCUGAGAGAUCAGCCCGCUCCCGAUUAGCUUGUUGGUGGGGUAACGGCCCACCAAGGCUGUGAUCGGUAGGUGGCCUGAGAGGGUGGUCACCCACACUGGGACUGAGAUACGGCCCAGACUCCUACGGGAGGCAGCAGUCUAGGAGCUUCCGCAAUGGGCGAAAGCCUGACGGAGCGACGCCGCGUGCGGGAUGAAGGCCGGAAGGUUGUAAACCGCUGUCAACAGGGAAGAAUGCCCGAAUGGUGAAUUCGGGAGAGACGGUACCUGCAGAGGAAGCCCCGGCUAACUCCGUGCCAGCAGCCGCGGUAAUACGGGGGGGGCAAACGUUGUUCGGAAUUACUGGGCGUAAAGAGUGCGUAGGCGGUCCGGUCAGUCUGGUGUGAAAUCUCCUCGCUUAACGAGGAGCCUGCAUUGGAAACUGCCGGACUUGGGGAUGGGAGAGGCAGGUGGAAUUCCUGGUGUAGCGGUGGAAUGCGUAGAUAUCAGGAAGAACACUCGUGGCGAAAGCGGCCUGCUGGCCCAUUUCUGACGCUGAGGCACGAAAGCCAGGGGAGCAAACAGGCUUAGAUACCCUGGUAGCCCUGGCCGUAAACGGUGAACACUAGGCGUCGGGGGUAUCGACCCCCUCGGUGCCGUAGCUAACGCGAUAAGUGUUCCGCCUGGGGAGUACGACCGCAAGGUUGAAACUCAAAGGAAUUGACGGGUCCCCGCACAAGCGGUGGAGGAUGGGGUUCAAUUCGAGGCAACGCGAAGAACCUUACCAGGGCUUAAACAGCAGGGUAAACCCUCUGAAAGGGGGGCUGCUUCGGCGAUCCUGUAGAGGUGCUGCAUGGCUGUCGUCAGCUCGUGUCGUGAGAUGUUGGGUUAAGUCCCGCAACGAGCGCAACCCUUGUCCUUAGUUACCAGCGGAUAAUGCCGGGGACUCUAAGGAGACUGCCGGUGAAAGCCGGAGGAAGGUGGGGAUGACGUCAAGUCCUCAUGGCCCUUAUGUCCUGGGCUACACCCGUCCUACAAUGGCCGGUACAGCGAGUCGCAAGACCGCGAGGUGGAGCUAAUCUCACAAAACCGGCCUCAGUUCAGAUUGCAGUCUGCAACUCGACUGCAUGAAGGAGGAAUCGCUAGUAAUCGCGGAUCAGCACGCCGCGGUGAAUACGUUCCCGGGGAUUGUACACACCGCCCGUCAAAUCACGAAAGUUGGCUGUACCGGAAGUCGCUGAGCUAACCCGCAAGGGAGGCAGGCGCCGAUGGUAUGGCUGGCGAUUGGGAUUAAGUCGUAACAAGGUAACC
RNAcentral lists this ribosomal RNA (1520 nucleotides) under uncultured bacterium. RNAcentral describes it as "bacterial SSU rRNA". It matches the Rfam family "Bacterial small subunit ribosomal RNA". The record is from RNAcentral.